This is a long non-coding RNA of Bombus pyrosoma, 550 nucleotides long. RefSeq lists it as uncharacterized. The record is from RefSeq and is a predicted model, not a curated record. Lineage: Eukaryota; Metazoa; Arthropoda; Insecta; Hymenoptera; Apidae. The transcript is spliced from 3 exons.
GCACUCCUGCGUCUUCUCCUGUCUGAGGCAGUCGUUCCUUGGUUAGUUCGGGCAUUGGGAGAGACCACCCCUCUCAACGCUAUCCCCUGGGCCGUCGUGCAAAUCUGAGGAGAUCCAGAUCCUCCUCGGCGUGUCGGCCCCUAUGACCACCUAGGGUGGCGCAGGGCCGUCAUUCGGUGCGGAAACCUGCAAGAGUGGGAUGUUAUACGUAGACUGCGAAUAUUUAUGCAAUUCAGAUAUUCAUUUACAUACGUUCAUGCGACUAAAAAUUUGAUAUUAUGGAAAUAAAAUGAAGAAUCUGAUAAAAAACGCGUCAUUGAAAGCAAAGGAGUUACAAUUGUCAAGUAUAGAACAUCAUAUAAAAUGAUGACCUCGACACGCAUAUUCAUCAAGCAAAUAUGCAUUUUGAUCGGCGAACAUUAUUAGUUUUGAUGAAGCGCGCAAUCACGCAUAGAUCAAAUUUCAUUUAUUGUACUUGCGGAUCUAAUUUUCAUUUAUAAAAUCUUCAUCAUCUAUAAAUUGCGUAGAAUAAAAAAUUGUAUUAUCAAAA